RNAcentral lists this ribosomal RNA (459 nucleotides) under uncultured bacterium. RNAcentral describes it as "partial 16S ribosomal RNA". It matches the Rfam family "Bacterial small subunit ribosomal RNA", at positions 338 to 795 of the family's 1533-position model. The record is from RNAcentral.
CCUACGGGUGGCAGCAGUGAGGAAUAUUGGUCAAUGGGCGGAAGCCUGAACCAGCCAAGUAGCGUGCGGGAUGAAGGCCCUACGGGUCGUAAACCUCUUUUGUCAGGGAACAAAGGCGGGGACGUGUCCCCGGAUGAGUGUACCUGAAGAAAAAGCAUCGGCUAACUCCGUGCCAGCAGCCGCGGUAAUACGGAGGAUGCGAGCGUUAUCCGGAUUUAUUGGGUUUAAAGGGUGCGCAGGCGGUCUGUUAAGUCAGCGGUCAAAGCCCGGGGCUCAACCCCGGCCCGCCGUUGAAACUGGCAGUCUCGAGUUGGAGAGAAGUAUGCGGAAUGCGCGGUGUAGCGGUGAAAUGCAUAGAUAUCGCGCAGAACUCCGAUUGCGAAGGCAGCAUGCCGGCUCCACACUGACGCUGAGGCACGAAAGCGUGGGUAUCGAACAGGAUUAGAGACCCUGGUAGUC